This 5064-nucleotide long non-coding RNA is filed under the name Marmota monax (woodchuck). The record is from RNAcentral. Lineage: Eukaryota; Metazoa; Chordata; Mammalia; Rodentia; Sciuridae.
CAACUUAGCAAGGCCCUAUGCAACUUAGAGAGAUCCUGUCUCAAAAUAAAACAUAAAAUGGGCUGGGGAUGUGGCUCAGUGGUAAAGCCAUCACUACGAUAAAUUCCUAGUACCCCCCAAAAAAAAUUUCAAAAGAAUAAUUAUAAAAAGAGCAGCAAAUUCCAAGAGAACACAGAAAAACAAUGAAUUAAGGCAGUCAGUACAGAAUAUGAGUGACAAAUUUAAGAGAUAGAGAUACAAUAGAAAUCAUGAAGUUGAAAGGUAUAAUGAAUCAAACAAAAAUUCAGUUGAAAGUCUCUCCUUUAGAGUAGAACAAGUAGAAAACAGAAUCUCAGAGCUGGAAGAGAAAGUGUUCAGCCUUUAAUAUUUAGAUGGUAAUAAAGAAAAUAAAUAACAAUGAUCAGAAUAUACAAGAACUCUGGGGCAUUAGGAGACCGAAUUUAAGGAUCACUGGAAUUGAAGAGGGAUCUGAGAUACAGACAUAGCAUAGAUAACAUGGCAUAGAUAACCCUUUCAGGGAAAUAAUAACAAAACUUUUCAAACCUUGGAAAUAAGAUGGACAUCCAGAUAUAGGAGGCAUGCAGAUUAAAACAUUAUGAUUAAAAUGCCUAACACAGAGAACAAGGAUAGAAUUUUAAAAGCUUCAAGAGAAAAACAUAGUGUCACAUGUAAAAAGGCAAGCCAACUAGAAUUACUUUUGAUUUCUCAAAAUAAGCUCUAAAACUCAGGAGGGCAUUGUUCCAAGCUCUUAAGGAAAAUAACUGUCAACCAAAAUUUCUAUAUCCAGAAAACUAUCCUUUGGAAUAUAAGGGAAAGAAAAACCUUCCAAAAUAAACAGAAAUUAAAAUAAUAUAUAGGAAAAAAGAAUGUAUGCCUACAAAGCCAGCAUGACAGAAAAUACUUAAAGAAAUGCUAUAUAUGGAAGAAAUUAAAAACAAACUCCAGAGCUCAUAAAUGGAUGAAUCUCAUUAGAAGAAUAGCUAAGCAAAUGAGAAACAAGACUGAAUUAUACAUUAGAAAUAAAUCAAAAUUGCAAGAAUUAAUAAACAUUUCUCAUAAUAACACUGUAAAUGGUCUCAACUCUUCAAAAAAGACAAAGACUCAGACUGGAUUAAAAAACAAGAUCCAACUAUAUGUUGUUUGUAAUCAUCUCAUAGGCAGAGACAGCCACAAGUUGGAAAUGAUAGGAAGGAAAAUGACAUUACAUGUAAGUGGAGCCUCAAAACAGGCAGAAGAAGCUAUUCUCAUAUCUGACAAAGCAGAUUUCAAGCCAGAAUUAUUCAGAAGAGACAUUCACUAUAUACUGUUAAAGAGAACAAUCCAACAUGAAGACACAUUGAUACUAUUUAUGCCCCAAACAUCAGUAUGCCCAAUGACAUAAAAGAAACACUACUCAACAUAAAGACUCAGACAGAUCCCAAUGCAAUAAUCCUACCUCUCUCCAAUUGAUAGGUCAUCCAUACAUAAAAGCAGUAAAAACUCUUCAUACCUAAAGUAUAUUAUAUAUUAAAUGGACCUAACAGACAAAUACACUUUCUUCUCAGCCCCUCAUGGAAGCCUCUUCAAAAUACCAUGCUUUAGAACACAAAGUAAGUCUUAGCAAAUAUUUUAAAAACUGCUAAAGUUUCUUGCAUGCACCUUACUAAAUCAUAGUGAAAAGAAACUAGAAAUCAAUAGCAAUAAAAACAACAGAAUUUAUGUAAAAAUAUGGAGUGAUUAAAUAACACAUUUUUGAACAAUGAAUGGGUCAUCUAAGGAUCAGGGAAGAAAUUUAAAAGUCUAGAAACAAAUGAGAACAUAGUUAAAAACGUAUCAGAAUGUCUAGAUCACUAGAAGGCUAGACAAGAGGAAAGUUUAUAGUUAUGAGUGCCUACAUUUCAAAAAACAAGAAAGAUUCCAGACAAACUAAUGAUGCAUCUCAAGAUCUUCAAAAAACAAGUCAAUUCCAAAACCGGGACAAGAAGAUCAAAGACAAAAAUCAACGAGAUAGAGAGUAGUAAAGCAAUACAAAAUAUCAACAUAAUGAAUAAUUGUUUAUUUGAGGUGAUAAACAGAUUUGCUAAGCCCUUAGCCAAACUAACCAAAAUAAAGAAAAAGAGCCCCCAAAUUAUAAAAAUUUGAGUUAAAAAAGGAGCUAUGGCCACAGACCUCACUGGAAUCCAGAGGUUCAUUAGGGACUACUUUGAAAACUUGUGUUCCAAUAAAUUAGAUAGAAAUAGAUAAAUUUCUAGACAUAUACAACCUACAAAAAUUGAGCCAAGAGGCUAUACAAAACUUAAACUGACCAAUAAUAAACAAUGAUAUUGAAGCAAUGAUAAAAAGCCUUCCAACAAAGCAAGCCCCAAGAUCAGAUGAAUUCUUAUAUGAAUUCAUAUUUAGAGAAGGACUAAUGCCAAUAAGUUCCUUAAAUUAUUCCAUGAAAUAUAAAAGGUUGAAAUACUUUCAAAUUCAUUCUAUGAUGCCAGGAUCAUCCUGAUACCUAAACAUAUAAAAGAAGGAGAACUACAGAUCAACAUCCUUGAUGCACAUAGAUGCCAAAAUCCUUAAUAAAUAUUGUCAAAUCCUAUUUAAUAUCACAUUAAAAUAAUGUUCAUCAUUAUCAAAUUGGUUUCAUUCCAGGGAUGCAAGGAUGGUUCAACAUUCUUGCAACAAGUGAAAUCAAUAAAUGUAAUUCACCACAUAAAUAUAAUUAAAGAUGAAAACCACAGUCAUCUUAAUAGAUGCUGAAAAAGCUUUUGUCAAAAUUCAGCACCUAUCAUAAUAUAAACAGUAAAGUAACUAAGGAUAGAAAGAACUUACUUAAAUAUCAUGGAGGUGGGGCUGGCAUUGUGGCUCAGCAGUAGAGCACUUGCCUAGCACGUGCAAGGCCCUGGGUUCGAUCCUCAGCACCACAUAAAAAUAAAGAUAUUGUGUUCAACUACAACUAAAAAAAAUAAUAAUAAAUAUUUAAAAAAUAUCAUGGAGGUGAUAUAUGACAAACCCAAAGCCAACAUCAUAGUAAAUGGGGGAGGGACAACGGAAAAUAUUUCCUCUAAAAUGAGGAACAAGACACGGAAGUUCACUCUCACCACACUUAUUUAAUAGUACUUUGAAAUUUAGGUAGAGCAAUUACAGGAGAGAAGGAAAUAAAAGGAAUACAAACAGGAAAGAAAAAAUAAAAUUAUCACUGUUGGAAGAUGAUAUGAUCCUAUACUUAGGAUAUUCAUAAAGCUCAACAAGAAGAUUUCUAUAGUUGAUAAAAAAUAAACAUAGUGGAAUAUAAGAUCAACAUAUAAAAAUCAACAGCUUUCCUGUAUGCCAAUAAUAAAGCUGCUAAGAAAGAAGACAGGAAAACAGUUCCAUUCACAACAGCCACAAAUAAGCAAAUGAGUUGGUUGUGGUGGCGCACAUCUGUAAUCCCAGCGGCUCGGAAAGCUGAGUCAGGAGGAUUGUGAGUUCAAAGCCAGCUUUAGCAACAGCGAUGCACUUAGCAACUCAGUGAGACCCUGUCUCUAAAUAAAAUACAAAAUAGGACUGGGGAUGUGGCUCAGUUUGGUUGAGUGUUUUUGAGUUCAGUCCCCAGUACCAAAAAACAAACAAAUGAACAAACAAACAAAAACCUAGGGAUAAAUCUAACCAAGGAGGAAAAAGACCUCUACAAUGAAAAUUAUAGAACACAGAAUAAAGAAAUUAAGAAGACUUUAGAACAUAGAAAGACCUCCCUGUUCUUUGAUAUGCAGAAUGAAUAUUGUUAAAAUGGCCAUAAUACCGAAAGCAAUCUACAGAUUCAUUGCAAUCCCCAUCAAAAUACCAAUGACAUUUAUUAAAGAACUAGAAAUAAUAGUCUAAAAUUCAUUAGGAAGAAUAAAAGAUGCAAAAUAGUAAAAACAAUUAGAGCAAUUCAGGAAGCAUCACAAAACUUAAUUUCAAAUUAUAGUACAGAGCUAUAGUAACAAAAAUUUCAUGGUAUUGGCAUAAAAACAGACAUAUACACCAAUGGAAUAGAAUAGGAGAAAUGGAAACAAACCCACACAGAUAUAGUCAUCUGAUUCUUGAUGCACCAAAACAUAUAUUGGGGCCUUUUUAACAGCUAAUGCUGGGAAUCUAGAUAUCCAUGUACAGAGGAAUGAGAGUAAUUCCCUAUCUCUCACUCUGCACAAAAGUCAAUUCAAAAUGGAUGAAUGACAUAGGAUUUAGACUAGAAACUUUGCAACUCCUAGAAGAAAACAUAAGGUCAACCCUCCCAACAAGUAGGCACAAGCGAUGACUUCCUCAAUAGAACUCCUAAAGCUCAGGAAAUAAUACUUAGAAUUAAUAAAUGGGACAGCAUCAAAUUAAAACACUUCUUUACAGAAAGGGAAACAAUUGAUAGGGUGAAGAGAGAGUCUCCAAAAUGGGAGAAAAUCUUUGCCAGCUGGUCUUCUGACAGAGGAUUAAUAUCCAUAAUAUAUAAAGAACUCCAAAACAAAAACAAAAACAAAACAACAAAAUAACUCAAUCAAUAAAUGGGCAAAUUAACUAAAUAGAUACUUCUCAAAAAAAGAAAUAAAAAUAGCCAACAAAUUAAUGAAAAAAUGUUCAAGAGCUUUAGUAAUCAAGGAAAUGCAAAUCAAAACUAUACUGAGAUUUCAUCUCAGUUGGAAUGGUCAUUAUCAAGAAUACAAAUAUUAGGGCUGGGGUUGUGGCUCAGUGGUAAGAGUGUUCAUCUACCGUGCACAAGGCACCGGUUCGAUCCUCAGCACCACAUAAAUGUAAAAUAAAGAUAUUGUAUCCACCUAAAGCUUAAGAAUAAAUAUUUUUAAAAAGAAUACAAAUACUAAUAAAUGUUGGAGAAGAUGUGGGAUUGUACUCAACCACUAUGAAAAUCAGUAUGGAGGUUCUUCAACAGAGUAGGAAUAGAACCCCUACAUGACCAACUAUACUACUCUUUGGUAUUUAUUCUAAAGAAUUAAAGUCAUAUUAAAAUGACAUAUGCAUAUCCAUGUAUAUAGUAGCACAAUUCAUGAUAGCCAAGCUAUCAGCCUAGGCUUUGGUUCACAGAUGGACAGACAAAGAAAGUGUAGUGUGUGUGUAUAUAUAUAUAUA